GGUAUAAUAAAAAAACAAAAACUUCAGAUCAUUUCUUCCAUGAUCAAUGGGGAAAAUAAAAUGUCUCAAGGAUCUUUUUUGUUUAAUUGCCCAAGUGCCCGCUGUGCGUAGAGCUGUUGUUCUCGAGCUUCUUUAGCAGCUAAAGCUUCCUCAUCAAGAACUUGAAUAGGGGACCAUUCUGGUAAUUUCAUCCAGCUACUACUUUCUUCAAUUAUCGAUUCUUUGUAGCUUCUUAAAACGGGUUUUAGUUUAAGUGUGC
This 259-nucleotide unclassified non-coding RNA is filed under the name Hevea brasiliensis (rubber tree). Lineage: Eukaryota; Viridiplantae; Streptophyta; Magnoliopsida; Malpighiales; Euphorbiaceae. The record is from RNAcentral.